GUGAGGAAUAUUGCGCAAUGGAGGCAACUCUGACGCAGCCAUGCCGCGUGCAGGAAGAAGGCGCUACGCGUUGUAAACUGCUUUUAACCGGGAAGAAACCCCAGGACGUGUCCUGGGUUGACGGUACCGGAGGAAUAAGCACCGGCUAACUUCGUGUCAGCAGCCGCGGUAAUACGAAGGGUGCAAGCGUUAUCCGGAUUCAUUGGGUUUAAAGGGUGCGUAGGCGGAGCGUUAAGUCAGUGGUGAAAUCCUGCAGCUUAACUGUAGACUUGCCAUUGAUACUGGCGCUCUUGAGUGCGCUUGAAGUGGGCGGAAUGUGCCGUGUAGCGGUGAAAUGCUUAGAUAUGGCACAGAACACCAAUUGCGAAGGCAGCUCACUAAGGCGAUACUGACGCUGAGGCACGAAAGCGUGGGGAUCGAACAGGAUUAGAAACCCGUGUAGUCC
RNAcentral lists this ribosomal RNA (445 nucleotides) under uncultured bacterium. RNAcentral describes it as "bacterial SSU rRNA". It matches the Rfam family "Bacterial small subunit ribosomal RNA", at positions 354 to 796 of the family's 1533-position model. The record is from RNAcentral.